This 468-nucleotide ribosomal RNA is filed under the name uncultured bacterium. Its description in RNAcentral is "partial 16S ribosomal RNA". It matches the Rfam family "Bacterial small subunit ribosomal RNA", at positions 28 to 507 of the family's 1533-position model. The record is from RNAcentral.
GACGAACGCUGGCGGCGUGCUUAACACAUGCAAGUCGAACGGAAAGGCCCUGCUUUUGUGGGGUGCUCGAGUGGCGAACGGGUGAGUAACACGUGAGUAACCUGCCCUUGACUUUGGGAUAACUUCAGGAAACUGGGGCUAAUACCGGAUAGGAGCUCCUGCUGCAUGGUGGGGGUUGGAAAGUUUCGGCGGUUGGGGCUGGACUCGCGGCUUAUCAGCUUGUUGGGGGGGUAGUGGCUUACCAAGGCUUUGACGGGUAGCCGGCCUGGGAGGGUGACCGGCCUCCUUGGGCCUGCGGUACGGCCCAGUCUCCUACGGGAGGCAGCAGUGGGGAAUAUUGCACAAUGGGCGGAAGCCUGAUGCAGCGGCGCCGCGUGCGGGAUGACCGCCUUCGGGUUGUAAACCGCUUUCGCCUGUGACGAAGCGUGAGUGACGGUAAUGGGUAAAGAAGCACCGGCUAACUACGUG